This 836-nucleotide ribosomal RNA is filed under the name uncultured bacterium. Its description in RNAcentral is "bacterial SSU rRNA". It matches the Rfam family "Bacterial small subunit ribosomal RNA", at positions 56 to 901 of the family's 1533-position model. The record is from RNAcentral.
UGCAGUCGAGGGGUAGUAUAGCAAUAUAUGAGACCGGCGCACGGGUGCGUAACGCGUAUGCAACCUACCUUUUACAGGGGGAUAGCCCAGAGAAAUUUGGAUUAAUACCCCAUGGUAUAUUUGAGUGGCAUCACUUGAUUAUUAAAGUUCCAACGGUAAAAGAUGGGCAUGCGUCCUAUUAGCUAGAUGGUAAGGUAACGGCUUACCAUGGCUACGAUAGGUAGGGGUCCUGAGAGGGAGAUCCCCCACACUGGUACUGAGACACGGACCAGACUCCUACGGGAGGCAGCAGUGAGGAAUAUUGGACAAUGGGCGCAAGCCUGAUCCAGCCAUGCCGCGUGCAGGAAGACGGUCCUAUGGAUUGUAAACUGCUUUUGUACGGGAAGAAACACUCCUACGUGUAGGGGCUUGACGGUACCGUAAGAAUAAGGAUCGGCUAACUCCGUGCCAGCAGCCGCGGUAAUACGGAGGAUCCAAGCGUUAUCCGGAAUCAUUGGGUUUAAAGGGUCCGUAGGCGGUUUGGUAAGUCAGUGGUGAAAGCCCAUCGCUCAACGAUGGAACGGCCAUUGAUACUGCCAGACUUGAAUUACUGGGAAGUAACUAGAAUAUGUAGUGUAGCGGUGAAAUGCUUAGAUAUUACAUGGAAUACCAAUUGCGAAGGCAGGUUACUACCAGUGGAUUGACGCUGAUGGACGAAAGCGUGGGGAGCGAACAGGAUUAGAUACCCUGGUAGUCCACGCCGUANACGAUGGAUACUAGCUGUUCGGGGCAACCUGAGUGGCUAAGCGAAAGUGAUAAGUAUCCCACCUGGGGAGUACGUUCGCAAGAAUGAAACU